Molecule: transfer RNA, 63 nt
Filed under: Fukomys damarensis (Damara mole-rat)
Lineage: Eukaryota; Metazoa; Chordata; Mammalia; Rodentia; Bathyergidae
Rfam family: tRNA
About the family: Transfer RNA (tRNA) molecules are approximately 80 nucleotides in length. Their secondary structure includes four short double-helical elements and three loops (D, anti-codon, and T loops).
Source: Rfam by way of RNAcentral
GUGUGGCUCAGUGGUAGAGCACUUGCCUAUCAUGCAUGAGGCCCUGGGUUUGACCCUUAGCAC